This 41506-nucleotide long non-coding RNA is filed under the name Triticum aestivum (bread wheat). RNAcentral's name for it is "long non-coding RNA (TAES_LNC018724)". Lineage: Eukaryota; Viridiplantae; Streptophyta; Magnoliopsida; Poales; Poaceae. The record is from RNAcentral.
UUACAGAUGCAGAUGAAAAAGACCUAGUUGGUCAGCAUGAGCCCAAGGAAAAGAAGCCUAAGACUACAAGCACCGAAGCCGACGAGGCAAUGACCUGCUCACAGGUUAGACUGCUAGGAAUCAAUCAAGGCCAAGAGAAAAAUUGAAGAAAACCAGAGUGAUCAAUGGCAGCAUUUUUCCGGCUUAAAAAAAGAGAAGGAACACUGCCGCUGCGAAGCUAUUUCCACCUUGUGCUGUGAACUUAAUUAUAUGGUGGGUUUGUCGUGAAACUUGCAACCAAAGGGGACAGUGGUAGGAGGUUUUUGUCCCAUUGUCCGAGUCCGAGUAUGCGAUUGGACCUCCUCGGUGUGUUGAACCUGUUUCCUUUUUUCUAUUUUUGCUUUUGUGUUUUACUUCCUGAGAACCUAGCCUUCCUAGAAUUGUGAAUUGUUUAAUUCGUGCCGAAAUAUAUUUGGAUUUUCUCUGAUUUUACUCGUUUCCUGAACUAUAAUCGUCUAUACGGCAUUACAUGGCUCUGGUUCUGGCAGACAGGAAGGUUGCAACAACGAAACAUCAUAAGCAUUUAAGCAUUAUAAGGAUCUCAAGCUGUCGAUCAAAAGGAAUUGUGUGUGCAUUUAUAAUUUAUAUGGAUGAGUGUAUGUAUGUGCGUAUGAGUGUAUAUGUAUGUACUGCGUUUAAGAGAAAAGUAGUUAUCCAUUUCGUCGGGUGUGAUUAUGACAUACAACACGCCAGCACUAUCUUGGUUGUGGAUGCGCACUAGCUUUUCAGGCAGAUAAAAGUUCCAGCCGCCACAGCUCUCCUCCUCGUUUUCCUGCCGACCGCGACCAUGACGACGACCACACGUCAAGGGCAUGUGUGCGUGUGUGAUUAUCUCUGCCAGAAUGAAGGUGAGCGCGAUCUUGAUCUUGCCGCAGUACUCCUCCUUGACGACCUGGUGCACGCCCGGCGGCAGGAUGCACUCCUGUAGCACCGUCUCCAGAGGGAUGCUCUGGAAAAUGUUCAGUGCAUUACAUACAUGAUACAUGUCAGUUCAGAACGCUUCGAGGACUAUGACACUUCUGCCAUCUUGUUCUGAUGAGAGUAGAGGCUUGUGUGUGUCUGGUUAGCUACUGAAGAAAUCGGAGUCGUCAAGGCCCUUUGCGAAGACAAGCAGGACCUCUAGCUUCAUGCAUUGAACGAUGGGAACCUGGGGUAGGUGCACCCAUUUUUUCCCAAAAGAAAGUAAUUGUAAACAUGGUCGAAAUCAUGAUUUGUUUUAACAACAAACCUGGUCAAGCAUUACACUCGCACUUUUUUUAGAGGUAAUAUCAUUGAUAGUCAUAGAACUUGCGCUGGAUGUCCAGUUUGGUGCUAAAACUUGUAAAAUAUGGAUUUCUGGUCAUCUAACUUGUUGAUUGGUGCAAAUACGGUGCUUUCUACUGUAUCCCGGCAUACACCCUGCCUGCAUGGCAUGUCGGCGGCCCACAUAUCAGUGGUCAGGAGUUAAUUUUUCCAAUAACUUCCUAGAUUUUUAAAUCUACACUACUAUUAAACAAGAGAACAUGGUGGACGAAAACUCUGCCAGGCCCACGCUCGCGCACAAGGGAAACAAUCAAACAACCCACGUCCAAUUUAUAUGGAGAGGAAAAAAAAACAAUCGCAAAAGGAAACCACACGUCCGUUCCGCAUGCAUUGUUCAACAAUACAGAAAGAAAGUUGCUAAAUUAGCGGCAACUAAUUUAUUUUCCCCCGCCGCCGCCGCCGUUCCACAUUGCCAUCUAGGCGUACAUGUUAACCCGUGGCAUCGCUGCCCUGGGCAGCUGGCGAGGCACCUGACUACCACGGCGAUGACAAGCUCUUCGGCGACACAGGUGCCGCGCCCAGACUAGCUGAACUCUAUUGUCAUCCAGACGUCCAGGUUUACAUGCGCCAUCGCUGCCCUGCGCAGACGGCAAGGCACCAGACGACGGCCGCAACGACGAGCUCUUCGUCAAAACAGGUACCGCCCAGACUGUCUGAACUUUGUUGCCAUCCAGGCGUCCAGGUUGACCUGUGCCAUCGCUGCCCUGCGCAGCCGACGAGGGACCCGACGACGGGUGCGACGAGCUGACCUGCCCUGCGCCAUUCACGUCCGCGCUCUUCGCCAACAAAGGUGCCGCCCAGACUGUCUGAACUUCGCGAGGCUUUUACAGGCCGCCACCACCCAGACUGUCCCGCGCCAUCGCCGCACUGCGUGUACGACGACGUCACAGCGCCGAUGAACUGCUCCGCAGGUGCAUGCUUAUUUGCCAACAUGUUGCCAGUGUGAUCCAUUUGAUUGAUCCUCGUGCUUUUCUGCAUAUUAUAAUGAUAAAAACAUGUUAGCAUUCUAUAAUUUAUCAAAAACAAGAAUGAAUCUUAUGGCAUGAGCAUAUACUAACAUGAUCCCUAUUGUACGUACCUGACCUAAACCUGAAAUCGUACCAUGAAGCCUUGGCAAAUGCACAUGGUACUGACCUCACCUAAAAGCCUCACCAAGCUGCAUAUGGUUCACCCACACUCUGAAAGAGACCUAGAUGAAUAGUAUUACAAACUACUACAUCCUGUUACAUUAUGCCAAGUAUAUUAAUGCAAAUUGAAUUCAUUUGGGUAGCAGACCUAGAUGAAUAGUAUUACAAACUAUUAUAUUCUGUAGCAUUAUGAAAGUAAAUUAAUGCAAAUUGAAUUCAUUUGGGUAACAGACCUAGACGGGCAUUGCGCGUGCAAGAUUACUAGAGUUUUUCUUAUUGUGCAUCAGGUUAGCGAUGUGUUGAAACAUCAGACUCCACACAGUCCAAGUAAGUUCCCUGUAUUUUAUUAUAUUAAGUUUGGAUAAAGCAACCUAAGAUAGAGUUUGGAUAAAGCAAAAUAACUAGAGUUUGAUAACCAGCAACCUAAGUAGAGUUUGGAUAAAGCAAAAUAACUAGAGUUUGAUAACCAGCAACCUAACUAGAGUUUGGAUAAAGCAACCUCACUUGUGCGCGAACAAGCUAGGUGCCUGAAUUUUUUAUGGUGAUAUGUCAAAUUGAGAUGCUUAGAGAAUUGGCAAUCAAAUGUGUAAGGCAACGGCAGCACGCAGAUCGCCAAAUGUGAAAGCAUUAUACUAAGUAUAUUAAUGCAAAUUGAAUUCAUUUGGGUAAGCAGAGGCACCACAAGAAAGCUCUCAAGGUAAACAGUUAGUGGGAGUUGAACAUAAAACUCUACUAUGUCUGUAUUCCGGUAACGUAAUACUAUUCAUUCAAAGAUAGUUGUAUGAUAACACUCUUGACAUUCACAGGGUUGAAGGACUUCGUAUGGCCCCUACCACUCCCAACAGGUAAUGAUCAUAACCCAAUCACUCGAUUGUUGCUCAACUGCUGAAUUGUGUCAUGAUUUGCAGACCCUAAAGAAAUAAAAAGGCGGAUGGAUAGAGAGCAAUAUGCACAAAAUAGGGAUGAAAUCAAUAAGAGACGACGUGAGGCCUCCGUCUACGCUGCCGGCUCCUGCGCCACUGCUCCUGCUCCUCCCCCUCCUCCGCGGCCGGGCACACCGAGGCCGAGGCGGCGACCGGCGCGCGUGUGUAUAUGCGGCACCGGCGUUGUAUUUGGCGUUGCCCACGACGGUGGGAUGCCGGAGGCGUUGGCGCAGCAGCAGCAUGCCCAGGGACUCCUUCGCCGUAACCGCCGGGAGCACCGAGGACGGUGGCGGCGGCUUUUUUCCUGAGAGCGGUGGGGAGACAGUGGAAGGGAUAAGGUAUGUGAAGUGUGUGGGUGUGGAGAACUGAGAGGAGGCAGCGAGGGGCGUGUCCAAUUUUUUCUGCAUCGAUUCCUUUUCUUUUUAUUAUCACUGGCCUUUUUCAUCAUUCUUUUUACAGUGAUGCUACACACACGACACCGAAUGCACGAUUUAUGCACGACGAGUGAGCUCGGCCUUUUGUUAUGUCUGCGAAUCUACAUUACAACCUCACUUCUGUGGCCGAUCCUUGCACGACAGUCAAUCCGGUGGUGUGCUACAGUUUUAGUUUAUGGUUGGAUGUGUAGCAUCGUCCAAACAUCGUGCAAGAAAGUCGUCUGCAUAGCAGCUCUCUUAUGUCUGAUGCAUGGAUCAGUACCCUUGGAUCAGUUGUCGUGCAAGAAUCGGCUACAAACUGUCGUGCGUAAAGUAGUUUUGUUCUGUUUAUAUUACUUUCUCAGUUAAGAUCUUACAUUAUGAAACGGAUGGAGUAGUUAACUAAUUUUUCUAUUAGAAGUUGACGUAUGGGUGCAAUCUUUUUACAAGAUUACAACGGUUUAAAUAAACGUUCUAUCAUGAACUUUUUGUUGAGGAUAAAUCAUGUAGGUAAUUUUGUGGCCUCUUGAUGUUAAAUUUCAUGGAGCACUUAUGGGAGAUAUUUCGACACUCUUGAACAGAUAUAUUUUUGCAUCAUAUCAUAAUUUCAUGGAGUACUUAUGAAGUAGCAACUAUUUGAAAAUUAAGUCGUAUUACUUGACUUUACUUUCAUAGGGCAUAUUUAGAACAAAAUUAGUUGUUAUUUUAGUAGAUUGAGAAUUGAAUAAUGAUGAUAUAAGAAAUCCGGAUCGUUAGGCAUGACACACAUGCACAUGGCUCAAUAACAAUGACUCACUAAAGAGAAAUAAGAUUUAAAAUGGAUGUUUCUAUUAUAGAUUAUGAUACGUGCGUGCAAAUCUACUAGUCAUGAAAAAAAGCUUAAGUGAGACUCACUUGUUAGUGAACAGUAUAUGAGAAAAAUGAUAAAAAUAAAUAGGAUGGGGCGGGAGACUCGAACCAACGACCAUCACAAGGGAACGUAUACUAGGUGAACCAGCAGGCCCAACGUGAUUUACUGAUUUGGAAGGAUAACCACUUUUUGUAACCCGUCAGGUAGAACACCUGAGCCUACCAACUCAAAUGGGCUAUAAUCAGUGGAGCCCAUUUUGCAACUUUGAUUUGCUUUAGAAAUUUGUAUGUAAUUUAUGAUCUAUGUCUAAAAAAAUGUUAAUUAUGAUCUCAGUAAUGAAAAUAUAUUUAUGGAUUACAAAAAUGUUUGUAUAGUUUAGAGUAAUCCAAAUAUGUGUAAAAUUACAUUUUAAAAAUAUUAUACAAAAACUGUACUACUCAUAGAUGAGAGAAUUUUUUAACAUAAAAAAGAAAGCCGCUAGGUCUCGAACCCACGAGGCCGCUACCAACGACACCCUUCACUAUUGUCAUACAGAAGAUGACAAGUAAAUAAAAAAGUUUCAUAUAAGCCUGACUAUUAUAUAAAUAUUUAAUAAAACAUAAGUAAUAUAAUUUGUUCAGAUAUUUGUGUGUUAAAAAUAUUAUACAUACAAACGAUGAUUAGUGAACAACAACAACAACAACAACAACAAAGCCUUUAGUCCCAAACAAAUUGGGAUAGGCUAGAGGUGAAACACAUAAGAUCUCGCAACCAACUCAUGGCUCUGGCACAUGGAUAGCAAGCUUCCACGCACUCCUGUCCAUAGCUAGCUCUUUGGUGAUAUUCCAAUCCUUCAGGUCUCUCUUAACGGACUCCUCCCAUAUCAAAUUCGGUCUACCCCGCCCUCUCUUGACAUUCUCCGCACGCUUUAGCCGUCCACUAUGCACCGGAGCUUCUGGAGGCCUGCGCUGAAUAUGCCCAAACCAUCUCAGACGAUGUUGGACAAGCUUCUCUUCAAUUGGUACUAUCCCAACUCUAUCUCGUAUAUCAUCAUUCCGGACUCGAUCCUUCCUCGUGUGGCCACACAUCCAUCUCAACAUACGCAUCUCCGCCACACCUAACUGUUGAACAUGUCGCCUUUUAGUCGGCCAACACUCAGCACCAUAAAACAUUGUAGGUCGAACCGCCGUCCUGUAGAACUUGCCUUUUAGCUUUUGUGGCACUCUCUUGUCACAGAGAAUGCCAGAAGCUUGGCGCCACUUCAUCCAUCCGGCUUUGAUUCGAUGGUUCACAUCUUCAUCAAUACCCCCAUCCUCCUGCAGCAUUGACCCCAAAUACCGAAAGGUGUCCUUCUGAGGUACCACCUGGCCAUCAAGGCUAACCUCCUCCUCACACCUAGUAGUACUGAGACCGCACAUCAUGUACUCGGUUUUAGUUCUACUAAGCCUAAACCCUUUCGAUUCCAAGGUUUGUCUCCAUAACUCUAACUUCCUAUUUACCCCUGUCUGACUAUCGUCAACUAGCACCACAUCAUCCGCAAAGAGCAUACACCAUGGGAUAUCUCCUUGUAUAUCCCUUGUGACCUCAUCCAUCACCAAUGCAAAAAGAUAAGGGCUCAAAGCUGACCCCUGAUGCAGUCCUAUCUUAAUCGGGAAGUCAUCAAUGUCGACAUCACUUGUUCGAACACUUGUCACAACAUUAUCGUACAUGUCCUUGAUGAGGGUAAUGUACUUUGCUGGGACUUUGUGUUUCUCCAAGGCCCACCACAUGACAUUCCGCGGUAUCUUAUCAUAGGCCUUCUCCAAGUAAAUGAACACCAUAUGCAAGUCCUUCUUUUGCUCCCUAUAUCUCUUCAUAAGUUGUCGUACCAAGAAAAUGGCUUCCAUGGUCGACCUCCCAGGCAUGAAACCAAACUGAUUUUUGGUCACGCUUGUCAUUCUUCUUAAGCGGUGCUCAGUGACUCUCUCCCAUAGCUUCAUUGUAUGGCUCAUCAGCUUAAUUCCACGGUAAUUAGUACAACUCUGAACAUCCCCCUUGUUCUUGAAGAUUGGUACUAAUAUACCCCGUCUCCAUUCUUCUGGCAUCUUGUUUGCCCGAAAAAUGAGGUUGAAAAGCUUGGUUAGCCAUACUAUCGCUAUGUCCCCGAGAUCUUUCCACACCUCAAUGGGGAUACAAUCAGGGCCCAUCGCCUUGCCUCCUUUCAUCCUUUUUAAAGCCUUCUUGACCUCAGACUCCUGGAUUCGCCGCACAAAACGCAUGCUGGUCUCAUCAAAGGAGUCGUCCAGUUCAAUGGUAGAACUCUCAUUCUCCCCAUUGAACAGCUUGUCGAAGUACUCCCGCCAUCUAUGCUUAAUCUCCUCGUCCUUCACCAAGAGUUGGCCUGCUCCGUCCUUGAUGCAUUUGACUUGGCCAAUAUCCCUCGUCUUCCUCUCUCGGAUCUUGGCCAUCUUAUAGAUGUCCCUUUCACCUUCCUUCGCGCCUAACCGUUGGUAGAGGUCCUCAUAUGCCCGACCCCUUGCUUCACCAACAGCUCGCUUUGCGGCCUUCUUCGCCAUCUUGUACAUUUAAAUAUAAACCUAUGUAUUAUGUUAGCCAGGACUGAAUGUUCAUAUCAACAAUUUAAAUAUUUAUAUCAUUUUAAAUUAUACAAACAUUUUCAUAAUUCAUAAGUACUGUUUUAAGUAUUGAAAUAUUACAUGAAGAGUUUUGAAAGUAAGCUAUUUCGUUUGUAUUAACAAUAUUUUAACAUGAAUAUUUAAACAAUAUUUGUCUAACCGAGAUCAUAAUUUACAGACUAUCUACAAUUUUCUAAAGAAUUAUCAAAGGUGCAAAAUGGGCUGCACUGAUCAUAGGCCAUUUGAGCUGACAGGCCCACGUGUUUUAAGAGGAUAAUAUAGUACGACCUUAUCCCUUGAAGUGUCAUUAGGCGGGUUGGUUCACGAGGUGUGCGCACCAUCUGAAGGUCGCUAGUUCAAAUCCCGGCCCCUUUAAAUGAUUUUUUUUUUCUCUUAUACUCCCUCCGUUUUUAUUUAGUUCGCAUAUUAGCUUUGAUCAAAGUCAAGCUUUACAAACUUUGACCAAGUUUAUAUACAAAAAUAUUAAGAUAUACAAUAACAAAUCAACAACAUUAGAUUUAUUAUUAAAUGUACUUUUACAUUGUAUAGAUUUAUUAUGAUAAAUGCCUAUAUUGUUUUCUAUAAACUUGGUUAAACUUUACGAAGUUUGACUUCAGUCAACUCUAAUAUGCAGAGUAAAUAAAAAUGGAGGGAGUACUGUUCACUGGCAGGUGGGUCUCAUCUGUGCUUUUCUGCGUAAUUAAAAAACUUGAGGAAGUUAUUUGGAAAGUGAUUUCUUUAAUACUGUUCACUGGCAGGUGGGUCUCAUAUGUGCUUUUCUGUGUAAUUAAAAAAAUUGAGGGAGUUAUCUGAAAAGGAUUUACUCCAGUCUACUGACAUGUGGGCCACUACCAAGCUGGCAUGCCACGCAGGCAUGGUGUAUGUCCGAAUACGGUAGAAAGCACUGUAUUUGCACCAAUCAACAAGUUAGAUGACCAUAAAUCUGUAUUUUACAAGUUUUCACACCAAACUGAACGUCCAACGCAAGUUCUAUUACCUCUUUCGGUUCGGCAGGGGACGGAGAGAGCAUGAAGAGCAGAUCGAGGCGAGGCGCAUGAGCAACGCGAUCAGUUUACCCAGGUUCGGGCCGCACAGAUGCGUAAAACCCUACUCCUGCCUUGUGGUUGUAUUGAUUUCUUGCUCGGGAGCGCUGAUUGCUACAGUACACACCAGCAGCUAGCUAGACCGAACGUGAGUGCUUCUGUUGGCCGACCCCCUCUAUGUUGCGCAUGGGCAUCCUUUUAUAUGCUUAAGGGGUCACCGACAGGUGGCAACAUAGACGAGGGCAAAAAUGGAAAAAGGCGUGGCGGUGGCACCGCCGCCUACUACAGUGUAUCAUACCUAACCCUGACGGCAGGGGACAAAGGCAUUAAAUGCCUGUCUGCGUCACCUAGACGGUGCGGAAAGGGACCGCUAGGGAUGCCACUGCUUGCCACGAUGGCAAUCUUGUCAGCGCCGCUUGCCACCGUGUACCUCUGGCUGCACAGCUUCCCGCCACGUACGCUCUGGAAGGGUCCCAUAGCGACACGUUGGUGGAUGUGCUGGAGCGCAGGUACAGAGUGGAAGCUUGCCGCGGCAAGUGCCUUGCCGCGGUCGUUGUCUUGUCGCAUCCGGGAGCUUGUCGCUCACCGGGCCUUGCCGGGACGCGUGGUGCGUCGCGGUAAGUUCCUUGAGAUGCCUUGGUUGGCCUUCCCGGCAAGCUCCUCUUGCCGGGGUCUUGUCUCCUUCCCGACAAGCUCCUCUUGCCGGGGUCUUGAAUACUUUGUUCUUGAAUGGCUCCAAAGGGACCACGGAGGAUCUUGGCGGUCACUCGGCAAGCCUUGCCGCGGGACGCUGCGACUGCCCGUGCAUAAGUUCGGGAUACUAGGGUACCCCUACUCUAGUACACCGAUAGGAGCCCCCGGGCCUGGGCCAUACACGGUGCCGAGCGCUGUUGGGCCAGGCCCAAAACAGGGCACGGGCACACGCGGCCUGGGUUACGCCGUGUUUCACUCCGCAUCCACCGCGCCCUCCCCGCAUGGCACGCGUCGAACGCGGCGUUGUGGGAGAGAUCGUGGGCGGUUUCUUUAUUAGGAAAGGCGGAACGUCCGCUCCCUCCUCCUUUAUAAGCAGGGAAAGCAGGGGUAGUGCGCCCACUCGCCCCCUUUCCACUCCAAUCUCAGAAGCCUCCGCCGCGCCCCUGUCUUCUCAAAGCAGCAAGAGAGGAGCGCCCUGCCCCCCCAUUGCCACCAGCACCACCAACGCCGUCGACCUCCUCCACCACCUCCACCAUGGCUCCGAAAGCCGACAAGGGGAAGGCCGUGAAGUCGACCGAGGCGCAGCGGCUUGCGGCGCUGCGGAAGGAGCGGGCCAUCUUCCCCCCAAGCUUGCCGCGAAGGAGCUGAGGGAGUACUACUACCUAUUCUGGUCGACGGAGACGCGGGCUCACCCGAGCACGAAGGUACUCCCAGCCACUGCUCAUAAACUUGCUCCGAACGGAUAUCCCUUCUUCGCCGUGUUCUUCUACUGCGGGCUCCGCCCGCCUUUCUCCGAAUUCUUUUGCGACAUCAUGAACACCUACGGCCUCUGCCUCCUUGAUUUCACCCCCAAUGCCAUUCUGACCAUGGCAGUUUUCGCACACCUUUGCGAAAACUUUGUCGGAGUCCACCCAAACGUAGCCCUUUUCCGCCAUUUCUUCAUGCCCCGAGUAGAGAGAGGAGAGCCUCUAUCCGGCGGAAUCGCCUGGAUCUCAAGGGCCGGCAAGAAGGACUCUUAUUUGGAGGGAGAGUUCCGCGGCAAGUGGGAGGAGUGGAGAGCAGAUUGGUGUUGGAUUGUCGAGGAGAACCCGCAACCAUUUACCGGUCGGCGCCAAGUAGCAGCAGUACGCGGCAGCGAUUGGAGCGACUGGCCCCGGAGGACGAUAGGCCGAGGAUUGCCGUCACCAGGAUCCAACGCCUCAGGCUUGCCGGACUCACUGUAGGCGCCGUUGGCGCAGAUUUCCUUCGCCGCCGCAUUGCCCCCCUGCAGGAACGGAGGAGGCCCGCCUGGGAGUUCAAAAAUGCGGCGGAUAUCAUGAGGCUGCGCCCGGGCCUCAAUUACAACUUUAUUGUUUUGGAGCUGAAUGCGAUGCUUCAGGAGCUCUUUAAGUAUGACCCAGAUCAUCCCGAAGUAUUUAGGUUGCCGCAGGGCGUCGUCCCGCUGUGCAACAAUUCCGCGCUCGACCGCAUCCGGGCAAUGAUGCCGCUGUGCGACUCGCAUGGACUUGUGCCAACUUGGCAAGAGCCUGCAGAUGAGGUCGUGCAGGAAUUCUUCGACAACUUGGUAGAAGUGCCAAUCCGCCCCGACAAGAAGAACGGCCUUACUCGCGACACCACCGAUGCGGAGUUGAAGCGCAUCGCCUCCAGGCUGGAAGAAGCGGCGGCAGCCGCAGCGGCAGGCGAGUUUGGAUUCACUUUGGAGGAGGCAGAGGCAGCAGAGGCGGCAAACCGGGCCGAGCGAGAGGAGCUUGCCGGCAAGAAAGAGCUUGCCCGACAAGAGGAGCUUGCCGGCAAGAAAGAUAUUGCCGGGUGUGACGCCGAGCCGAGCGAGCCCGCCGAGGAUACGAGCGGUUCGUUGGAUAUCAACUCUUCUUCCUCCUCGUCCUCAGACAGCUCGCCGCAAGCUGAGCCUCCAUCUCCACCAAGAAGGCGUCUCCGCAAGGCCGGGGACGUAGCGAGGCGGCAGCCAAGUCGACAGUCGCCGCGCCGUGCGACACGCUCUACCGCGGCAAGCACUGCUGCCGCGGGAGCGCCUCACGCUGCUGCAGCAACUGGAGCGGGGUCUUCUCGGACCACCGCUUCUGCUCCCGCCAAGCGGCCAAGGGAUCCUACUCCUCCGCCUGCCUGCGCCGGGCGUGAGCCGGAUUUUGACUUCUCCGCGUUCAGCUCCGACGAGGAAGAAGAAGAAGAGUAAGAUUCACUUGUCAUACUUGCAGUUCUUCAAUCCUUGCUGUUUUGUCUUGUAUCUCACUUGCUUCAAUCUGGACCUAUUCCUUUUUAGGACUCUGGCCCAGAGAGCGGCGAAGAGAGCCAAGGCCCCCCGUGAUUGUCAUCGAGGACGAACCCACCGCGUCAGCAGGGGAUGCGCCCGAGACAACCUUGCCGAACCCGGCAACUGUCCUCCAGAGCAGCCCCCAGCGUAAGUAUCUGGUUUGCUUUCCGCUGUUGGGUGCGCUUGGAAUCUCUUGCUUUGCUGAUAUCUGUUUGUUGACUUGUGCAGGAGCAGAGCAGCCCCACCAGGAGAGCCCGGAGGCCGCCCCCGAAACGCCAAGGGAGAGUCCUCCGGCAAGGGAGAGCUCUCCGGCAAGGGAGACGUCUUCGGCAAGGAAGGGUUCUCCGGCAAGGGGCAGCACCAGCGGCCCCCUGGCGACGGAGACCACGGCUGUAGAUCCUGGCACAGGUAAUCUUCUUGCUUCGACACUUCCCUUGGGUUCUUCUUCUUUGGAUCUUCUUUUUUGGAUAUUUGCUUGACUCUUCUCCCCUUUUUCGGCUGUCAGAUCCAUCUGCUGCAGAGCCGAUGGAGACCGAAGUUGCCGCCGAAGACGCCGUUGCCGUCGAGGAAGCAGCCGGCGCCGACGAGCCCACCGGCGAAGAGGCCACCAGGGCUGCCGCUGCAGAAGCAGGCGGGGGAUCAGGCGAUCGCACUGACGACCCUGAGGCCGCAGGAGCGCCAGGCACUGCACCGACCGCCGAUCCCUUCGCCGCUGCCGCAGCGCCAGGCUCCGAAGAGCCCCAGCCUGGCGUCUACUUGAAGGCCAGCGAUGACAUCUUCAUCAACCUCCCCUGGGCGUCAAGCUCCAGGGCGCCGGUCGAGGAAGAGAGCUUCGACGGAGAAGUGCUCGCCUCCGCCGGGCUGGCGCUGGUUGACGCGCCAAGCAGCAGCAGCGGCGAGCCUGAGGAGGAGCGGCUGCUGCGGAAGCUUGUGUCACUCUACCGCGCCCGUCAGGUCAUGCUGGAGUCCCGCGAGGCACUUGUCGCGAAGGCGGGAGUCGACAUCGAGAAGCACGCGGAGGAGCUCCGGUGCGCCAAUCAGGAAGCUCUCCGAUUCUUGGCAGUGGAGCGGGCGCGACUUGCCGAGGAGCGGGAGGCCUUCCUCCUUGAGAAGGCCGAAGCCGAAGAGCAACAACGGCUUGCCGCUGAGAAGUUGGCGGUGCAGGAAGGCGAGCUGGUGCAGCGGAAGGUCAACCUCGACAGCCAUGAGGAGGAGCUUGCCGCGCGCGAGCGGACAGUUGGCGGAGCCCUCAAGCAAGCCGAAGAUGCUGCCGCAGCUGCCGAGGCCGCCAAGAAGGAGCUGGAGACAAAGGCGGCGCAGCUGGAGGCCGAUCUCAAGGCGAGCGGUGACGAGCUUGCCGUGCUCAAGCUUGAGCGGGAGAAGGACGCCAACAGCUACUCGGAGCUGCAGGCCCAUCUCGCCGAGAAGGGCAAGGAGCUUGACGCCGCCAAGGACUCCAAUGCGGAUCUUGAGUUAAAGCUGAUCGCUUUGACCAAGAUAUUGGACGGCGCCAAGGAGCAGGAGACGGCUCUGAAGGAGGAAGUCAAGGCCGGCAAGGCGCUGCUGGCGAGUGCCGCUGCCGCCCAGAGCACUUUCCGGGAGAACGUGGAGCACUGGACGGAGGGUCUCAUGGAUGUUGCCGGAGACAUCGACAAGGAGCUGGCGUAGCUGGGAAUGGAGGAUCUCGGGUAUCCUUCCGACGAGAGCCUCCAACCUAGCGGCAAGCUCACUUUGUUCUUCAAGGGCGUGGCGACGGCUCUCCGGCGACUCUGGGAGAGGAUCCCGAAGCAGCUGGCCGACGAGUCGCGCAAGAUCUGCGCGGGAGCUCUUCAGAAGGUGCUGGUAAAGGUGGCCUUCCGCAACCCGGGCCUCAACCUCACCAACGUCCUCAGGUCAUUGCCGCCGGAUGCUGAUCUGGAGGCGCUCAAGACCCUUGUCGCACCCAUUGUGGACAAGGUGAGCGGGAUCAAGAGGGUCGAGGGCGACCGGAUAGACUAGGCCGCCCGUUUUCUUCUUUCCUUGUCGCUGCUAUUCAUGUUAUGCAAACAAUCUGUUAGAGCCGGGACAAGCUAUUUUGCAAUAUAACUUUGCUUUGGGCAAUGAUUGCAACGUUAUUUCCUUUACUUGAUUCCUUCCUUUGUAUGUUUUUACCCUACGCUUUUAGGGAACUUGCCGGCGCAGGCACCUUAGCCGCGAGCGCUGAGUGCGGGACAUCAGCAGCCUGCUGGCGGUGCCGCUGCCGACAAGAAACCUUGUCGCAGAGCUAGUCGUAGCUCACUUAAGUUGUUGAGCGGACUCGAAACAACAGUAAGGGCGCAACUAGCUACGAGUUGGUUCCUCCGCGCACAGGUUUUCCAUACAAAGAACGGUCGUUCAAGGAAGAUAACUUUAAAAAUUUAAAGAAUCUGACUGCUCAAACUUUGGCAACUUAUCUUUUUUGUUGUUUGCUUCUCGGCAAGGCGAACUUUCUUGAACGACGCCUGGUCCAUACCGUAUCUUCUCCUUUCCCCCCGGCAAACUUGUGCGCGAGGGAACCUUCCUUUUAUGGCAGAAAAAAGAAAAAGGAGAAAAAGAUAUGGAGCCUUAUGGCUCGUUGUUGCUUACCGGGGGUAAGUGCUGCACAAAGUGUCAGAUAACACAUGCAAAAUAUAAAAAGCACGAAAUCGACAAGAUGUGCGGAGCACAUGAUCUUUAUGCACGGGAUCUGCGCCCGGCUUUGUACAAAGGAUUACAUGCAACAACGGCAAGACUUGUACAAAAGGUGGUUGCCGGAACGGGUUCCGGCGACCGCGCCCUACGGGUAAAACUUACGAAGAUGCUCGAUAUUCCAGGAGUUGCUCACUUGUAUGCCAUCUUCGGUCUCAAGGCGGACAGCGCCAGGCCUAGUGACUCGUUUCACCCGGUAAGGGCCUUCCCACUUCGGCGUCAACUUCUUGGAAUUCUUGGCGGACUAAACGCGCCGAAGAACAAGGUCGCCUUCCUCGAGACUUCUGGCGUUAACUUUGCGGCUAUGGUAGCGGCGCAAAGCUUGCUGGUAGCGAGCAGCUCGCACAGCAGCCUGAAGACGGUCUUCCUCAAGGAGCAGCGCGUCAUCUUGUCGCAGCUGCUCUUGCUCAAGCUCAUCGUAAGCGAGCACUCGAGGUGACCCGUAUACGAGUUCCGUGGGGAGAAUUGCCUCUGCUCCAUAGACUAGAGCGAAAGGUGUCUGGUCAGUGGCUCGAUUUGGCGUCGUCCUGAUCGACCAAAGAACCACCGGCAGCUCCUCGAUCCAGUUUCUUCCGCACUUGUGCAGCCUGUCGAAAGUUCUGGUCUUGAGCCCGCGCAGCACUUCAGCAUUUGCCCUCUCCGCUUGACCGUUGCUUCUCGGGUGAGCAACAGAAGCGAAGCAGACCUUGGCGCCAAGAUCUUGGACGUAGUGCAUGAAGGUGCGGCUCGUAAAUUGCGUACCGUUGUCGGUGAUUAUCCUGUUAGGGAUCCCGAAACGGCAAACAAUCGACCUGAAGAACUUGACUGCUGACUGUGCUGUCACCUUCCUCACUGGUUCCACUUCCGGCCACUUUGUGAACUUGUCGAUUGCAACGUACAAGUACUCAAAGCCCCCGACUGCUCGGGGAAAGGGGCCGAGGAUAUCAAGCCCCCAGACCGAAAAAGGCCAGGAUAAAGGGAUCGUCUGGAGAGCUUGAGCUGGCUGGUGUAUCUGCUUGGAAUGGAACUGGCACGCUUCACACUUGGUUACUUGUGGAGUUGCAUCCUGGAGGGCUGUCAGCCAAAAGAAGCCUUGCCGGAAUGCUUUGCCGACAACUGCUCUUGCGCCAAUGUGGUGUCCACAUAUGCCUCUAUGUAUCUCUGCCAACAGCUUUUGUCCAUCUUCCCGGGGAAUACACUUCAAUUUCACACCGUUGAGUCUUCUUCUGCACAGUGUGCUGUCGGCAAACUGGUACAUACUUGACUGCCGGGCUACUCUUUCUGCUUCUUCUUGCUCUUCGGGAAGUUCUCCUGUAUGAAGGAAACAGACAAUCUGCUGUGCCCAUGUUGGAGCUUGUGGCUCGACAACAAGGACUAAAGGCAUAUCUGCUGCUGCGGGAACAUCCGCUUCUACGGCAAGAACCUGCGGCUCUGCCGGAGCUUGACAUUCCCCGGCAAGCUUGCCAGAGCAAAACUUGUCGGGAGCGUCUGCUUCGAUGGAACAAACCCUAGGGCUUGCCGGAGCAGACUGCUCCUCAACACUCUUGUUGUUGAUCUUGGGGACCUUCUUGGUGGCGAAUUCGGGAAGCUCUGCCGGAAAAUAGUCACUAGAAACCAACUUCCUCUUCUUGCUCUGUCCAGUUGAUGGUGUUACGGACGGUUGAGUCAGCUUAAGCACAAAGAUCCCUGGUUCCACAGUAACUUAAGUGCAGCGCACUUUGACAGGCCAUCGGCAAUGUCAUUCUGAGCUCUUGGGGCAUGCUCCAUCUGUAGGCUGUCAAAGUGCUCUUCUAGCUUUCUCACUUCGUCAACGUAGGCUUCCAUCAACGGACUCUGAUAACUCUUGUUCACUUGGCGGACGACAAGCUGCGAGUCACCCCUGACAAUGGGCUUCUUGAUCCCAAGGUCUGCCGCGAUCCUGAGACCGGCAAGCAAGCCUUCAUACUCUGCAGUAUUGUUUGUCGCUUGCUCCUUGGGAAAGUGCAUCUGGACUACGUACUUGAGGUGCUCUCCGGUGGGUGCGACAAGCAGCACGCCAGCGCCGGCGCCUUGCAGCGAGAAGGCACCGUCAAAGUACAUGAGCCACUCUUUGCUUGUUUCCUUGACGGGGAUGCUUGUCUCUGGAAUUUCUUCAUCUGGUGUUGGCGUCCACUCUGCUAUGAAUUCUGCCAAUGCUCUGCUUUGGAUAGUUGAAGUACUCUCAAACUUGAGGCCAAAGCUUGACAGUUCCAGUGCCCACUCAACAAUCCUGCCUGUUGCUUAUGGAUUCUGCAGUAUCCUCUUCAGCGGGAAGCGAGUGACAACUGUGAUCUCAUAUGCUUGGAAGUAAUGGCGCAGCUUUCUCGAGGCCAUGAGAAGGCCGAAAAGCAACUUCUGCACACCAGAGUACCUUGACCUAGCCCCCUGCAGAAGGGAACUGACAAAGUAAACUGGGCGCUGCACCAUUCUUUUCUGCAUCUCCUCGCGCACCUGCGCAGAUCCAUCCUUGUCGGGACCAGAGCUUGUCGGGGAAGCCCCCUGCUUGUCGCUGGAUGCGCUUGGCGCGGUUGCUGGCUCGUCAUCUGCCUCUCUCUCCACCACUAACGCAACACUAACCACUUGAUUGGUUGUCGCUAUAUACAGCAGCAACUUCUCUUGCAAGUGUUGAACCAGCAUUCUUUAAACCGAAAGGCAUCCGUAUGAAACAGUAUGUGCCACAUGGAGUAAUGAACGCGGUUUUCUCCUCAUCCUCUUCUGCCAUGAAGAUUUGAUGGUACCCUGAGUAUGCGUCAAGAAAUGAAAGCAAAUCACAUCCGGCUGUGGAGUCAACAAUCUGGUCAAUGCGCGGCAAGGGAAAUGGAUCUUUGGGACAAGCUUUAUUAACAUCAGUAAAGUCGAUACAAAGCCUCCAUUUCCCGUUUGCCUUGCGCACGACUACAGGAUUGGCCAACCACGUGGGAUGGAGCACUCCUCUGACAAGGCCUGCUGCUUCCAACUUCUUGAUCUCUUCUGCUAUGAAUUCUUGGCGCUCCACUGCUUGCUUCCUGACCUUCUGCUUGAUGGGCCGCGCAUGAGGACAAACGGCAAGAUGGUGCUCAAUUACUUUCCUGGGAACACCGGGGAUGUCAGACGGUUGCCACGCAAACACGUCGACGUUCGCCCGCAGGAAAGCAAUGAGCGCGCUUUCCUAUUUAGGGUGGAGAGUGGCACUGAUGGUGAAGGUACCACCAAUGCCGUCCUCCUUGGCGGACACUUUCUUGGUAUGUGGCGGAGCUGCCAUUGCCUUCUUACACUUGCCAGUGGAGCUCGAUGGUGCGUCCUCGACGGUAGCGCAGCACUCCGAAGAGGUGCGCUUGCCGGAGUGGGCAUCUGAGCUCUUGUCGGACUUGGUCUUCUUCUUCCCCCCGGGAGCUUCAGCGGCAAGUGACUUGCGAUCUGACACGGCUGCUGCUUCCUGGUAGAUCUUGUCGGCGCAGAUAAGAGCAUCUUUCUUGUCGCCAGGGACAGAGAUGACGCUUAUCGGGCCUGGCAUCUUGAGCAUGUUAUAUGCAUAGUGAGAAGCCGCCAUGAACUUGGCGAGCGCAGGACGGCCGAGUAUUCCAUUGUAAGGCAAUGGAAAAUCGGCAACGUCAAAAGUGACCUUCUCAGUCCCGAAGUUCAUCUCGCUGCCAAAUGUUACCGGCAACGUGACCUUCCCCUUCGGCUUGCUCCUUCCCGGGUUGAUUCCUUGGAAUGUGCCGGUCUCUUCGAGCUCGCUGUCAGGGAUCUGGAGUUUCUGGAGUACAGCGGAGGAGAUCAGGUUUAAGCCGGCCCCGCCGUCAACUAACAUCUUAGUGACCCUGAGGUUGCGGAUAGUUGGUGAAACCAACAAUGGCAAGCACCCGACCGCAGUUGUGCGAUCAGGGUGGUCCUCAAUAUCAAAGAUGAUAGGCGUGCUGGACCAUUUCAGAAGCUUGCGCGACUCGACAGGUGGCUCUGCCGCAUUGACUUCCCGCGCCCACUGCUUGAGUUGGCGGUGAGAAGUAUGCAGAGAAGCACCGCCAUCAACGCACAAGACUUCUGUGGCUUUCUGGAACUCCUGCUCACUGGUCUCGACAUCAUCCAUGUCUUCGUCGUCGUCGUCGUCUUCAUCCUUGUCGCGGCCGCGGGGAGGUCUGUCUCCUUGCCGCUGCUUGGCCUUGCCGCGGUGUCCUCCUCGGCCAGCGCGCUUCUUGCUGGCUUCUCCAGCGCCUCCUUGGGCUCUCUCCUUGUCGCGCCGCUCGUACUCAGCUUUCUGUUGCUGGACAAGAUGCUCGACCUUCUUGCAACUCUGGAGGUCAUGGCCCUUGGUGCGGUGGAUCUUGCAGUACUGCUUGUCGGUGCCGUCCUGCUUGUCGGCAACCGCCACAGCCUGGCAGUUGGUGCAUGCGGCAAUCUCCUUGCCGGAGCUACCAACUUUGGCUUUCUUGGCACCACCAUCGUUGUCGGACUGCUCAACGACUAGCACUUCUUUGCCUUUCUUCUUCCUGUUGUUCCGCCGCCGGUUUUUCUUUGCCGGGGCGGCAUCCUCGCUGUCAGAUCCUCCUGCUGCAGUAUUCUCUCCGGGGAGUUUCCUCCCUUCUUCAGCACGUGCACACUUGUCGGCCAGGGCAUACAGCUCACUGACGUCUCUGAUCCUGCACAUCGCCAUCUCCUCCCGCAUCCUGCGGUUACGCACGUUCUGAUGGAACGCGCUGAUAACCGCGGCAGGGUGGAUAUCUGGGAUGUUGCGCUGCACACGGCUGAAUCUCUGAAUGUACUUGCGCAGGGGCUCUCCUUCCUUCUGGGCGAGCAGGUGAAGGUCACUCUCUUGGCCAUGAGGUUUGUGGCCGCCUGUAAAGGCGCCGACAAACUGGUGGCAUAGAUCUGCCCAAGCGGAUAUGGAGUUGUCCGGCAAGUGCAUGAGCCAGGACCUGACGUCGGGCUUGAGCACCAGCGGGAAGUAGUUGGCAAGGACCUUGUCGUCUCGCCCCCCGGCAGCUUGCACCGCGAUGGUGUAGAUGCUGAGGAACUCCGACGGGUGCGACUUGCCGUCGUACUUCUCUGGUACGUCUGGCUUGAAAUUCUUCUGGCUGGGCCACUGGACUUGCCACAGCUCACGGGUAAACGCAGGGCAACCUACCGCGUACGGCAAGUCGCCUGGUUCCCCUGGCGCAUGCAUGUCGACAGAGGGCAGCGCGCUGGUCUGAUUGACGCCGCGCUUCUCUUCGGCGCUCGAUGCGAGUACGCGUGUCUUCUUGUUGUCGUUCGUCAAGAACUUGGCGCUGAUCGCGAUGAGCUCGAGGAUCUGAUGACGCGGUGGAGUCGCUGUCGGGGUGGAUCCGGCGAGUCGGCGAUCUUGGCCUUCGGGGCGGAGAGUGCACGGUGGUUGCACCCCCACCGGUCUUGUCGCCACCGGCUCGCGCCUGGCUGACUUGCCGCGGCAGUGAAGUACUCGGCUGCCGUGGAUUGUCGCCAUUGGCGAAGCCGAUGAGACUCUGAAUGGUGGCCCUCCAGUCGUCGAUCUUGUCCGCCGCUGGAGGGUAGUCUAGGAGCAGUUGAGCUCGCGCCAAAGCUUCUGCUGGAGUGGCGGGCGGCGGCGGCGAACGGUGCGAGGAGCGAGAUAUGCUCGGACUUCUAACCACGUUAGAAGGAGCAGUAUCUCAUCUAGGCGACCGCACUCCGCUCGCGCCAGCACGUUGGCGUGCAUGCUAGUCUUACGCACUCCAAGAUCCACCAGCUCGAUCUUGGUCCAGCAAGCGUAUGGUACCGUGGGUAUCAUGACGCUGCCGGUCCCGCGCCUCCUGGGAUGGGCGCGGUGCGUGUACGGACGCCGAGGUCUUGGAGUGCGCCCGGUCGUUGUGGGAGUCGACUGCGCCGCCGAUGUGUAGCACAGCCUUGUCCUUGGACCUGGCAGCACCGUGAGCUCCCUCGUCGAUGCCCGUUCUUCCGCCGGCGUCUACCCCAUCAGCCGUUUGCUCCGGCGAUGGUGGGUUCGGCGCGGACGGAGAAGCCGCCUCCGAAGUCUUCUUCUUCGGCGGCAUGUCGAUGAAGACGAUGAAGAUUUAGCUCGUGCGAACGCCGGAUCAGGUUCACACAACCUCGACGCACCCCUACCUGGCGCGCCAAAGAUGUCGGGGGUGCUGAUCCCACGGACACCUAUGGGACCACGGCGGACCGGGCCCCUUUCGGUUCGGCAGGGGGCGGAGAGAGCACGAAGAGCAGAUCGAGGCGAGGCGCACGAGCAACGCGAUCAGUUUACCCAGGUUCGGGCCGCACGGAUGCAUAAAACCCUACUCCUGCCUUGUGGUUGUAUUGAUUUCUUGCUCGGGAGCGCUGAUUGCUACAGUACACACCAGCAGCUAGCUAGACCGAGCGUGAGUGCGUUCUGUUGGCCGACCCCCUCUACGUUGCGCAUGGGCCUCCUUUUAUAUGGUUAAGGGGUCACCGACAGGUGGCAACAUAGACGAGGGCAAAAAUGGAAAAAGGCGUGGCGGUGGCACCGCCGCCUACUACAGUGUAUCAUACCUAACCCUGACGGCAGGGGACAAAGGCAUUAAAUGCCUGUCUGCAUCGCCUAGACGGUGCGAAAAGGGACCGCCAGGGACGCCACUGCUUGCCACGAUGGCAAUCUUGUCAGCGCCGCUUGCCACCGUGUACCUUUGGCUGCACAGCUUCCCGCCACGUACGCUCUGGAAGGGUCCCAGAGCGACAUGUUGGUGGAUGUGCUGGAGCGCAGGUACAAAGUGGAAGCUUGCCGCGGCAAGUGCCUUGCCGCGGUCGUUGUCUUGUCGCAUCCGGGAGCUUGUCGCUCACCGGGCCUUGCCGGGACGCGUGGUGCGUCGCGGUAAGUUCCUUGAGAUGCCUUGGUUGGCCUUCCCGGCAAGCUCCUCUUGCCGGGGUCUUGUCUCCUUCCCGACAAGCUCCUCUUGCCGGGGUCUUGGAUACUUUGUUCUUGAAUGGCUCCAAAGGGACCACGGAGGAUCUUGGCGGUCACCCGGCAAGCCUUGCCGCGGGACGCUGCGACUGCCCGUGCACAAGUUCGGGAUACUAGGGUACCCCUACUCUAGUACACCGACACCUAUAUUGUUUUCUAUAAACUUGGUCAAACAUUACGAAAUUUGACUUCAGUCAACUCUAAUAUGCAGAGUAAAUAAAAACGGAGGGAGUACUGUUCACUGGCAGGUGGGUCUCAUCUGUGCUUUUCUGCGUAAUUAAAAAACUUGAGGAAGUUAUUUGGAAAGUGAUUUCUUUAAUACUGUUCACUGGCAGGUGGGUCUCAUAUGUGCUUUUCUGCGUAAUUAAAAAAAUUGAGGGAGUUAUCUGAAAAGGAUUUACUCCAGUCUACUGACAUGUGGGCCACUACCAAGCUGGCAUGCCAUGUAGGCAUGGUGUAUGUCCGAAUACGGUAGAAAGCACCGUAUUUGCACCAAUCAACAAGUUAGAUGACCAUAAAUCUGUAUUUUACAAGUUUUCGCACCAAACUGAACGUCCAACGCAAGUUCUAUGACCGCCAAUGAUAUUACCUCUUUUUUUAUGAAGAAAUGACUUUUGUGGUAUUGUUGACGAAAAAACAAAAUCAACACACAUUACUGCUUAGCAAAAACAAAACAAAGUCAACUAUCCACCUACAUAGCCCAUCUUCAGUAAAGGUCGCACAUACCGACAAUCAUUGAUGAACUCUUAUAUAGCAUAACCCUCAUUGCUUGCUCCUAUUUUCUCCGUUGUUACUCGACAAGCCGACCGGUGAUAACAAUAAUGUUGCCCGUUGCCUCGAUUUUUGACCAAGGACUCAGGAAGGCAAGUCUGUGUACAAGAAGCUUCUUUUAUCUCUAGGUAUCCUCCAAAAGAAAAAAAUAGAUUGAGCUUGAAAAUUCCAAAGAAUGGAAGGUAAGGCAUGCAAACAUUCAUUUGUGCUCGACAUUACAUAAUUUAAUGUAACACAGUAAUAUACUUUAUUUUUACUAUCCUCAAAUGUACCUUAGGUUUAGAAUAAUGUGUAUACUCAAAAAUGCCUUUUAUGGCAGCGCCUAGGCCUUGUACAAUAAUAAAAUGGAUCAACCUUAAAUACAUAGCUUUAAUCGUGGGAGAUAUCACACUACGGAUUCGGGCAGUAGGGAGAGAAGGCGGGGACGAAAUGAGAGGUACAGAGGGAGAGCAGAGUUGGACAAAGGGAGGGCAAACAGACACUUCAGGUAGGUGAAUGGAUAAUGACAGCGAAAGGGGGAGGAACCCUAUGACUAGGAUCAGGGCUGCUCCUUGUAUACUAGGGCCCUGGCCACAACAAUAAGAUGGGCCCUUAUUCAUACAAUAGUGAUUGAACAAAUAUCUAGUGUAAAUGUCAUCUUCAUGUUAUCUCCCCAUUGCACAUUCAUAGUCAUGCUAGAACUCAUAAUUGACUGAUUGUUUUGCAGAUAACAAUUGAUUUAUAAUAGGGCAACUUAAGUUUUCUUGAAAAGUGUAAGUUGCACUUUUUCCACUUAACUAGAAAUGUGCAAGUGGAGCAAACUCUUGUUGCAAAUCAGCGUUAGUCAAAUCUUUCGACAAACCGAAUCAGUGACCAAUUUACAAGAAAUUAUAGUGUCAUGGUUUUGGGAAACAAAAGAUAAGAGGCUAAAGAUUUUCUUCAUGGCAUGUACCGAAAAAGUUCAUAAUUUAUCAUGAGGAAGUGUUAUUUACUAAAAGAGACAUUUUACCACAAAACCCGUUCUGACAUUAUAAUCCUUCUCCAUAGUUUAUUCGGUUUGUGCUUACAACAAAGGAAUAAAAACAACAAAAGGUUGGAAUUUAUGUGAAAACCAUAGAAUUGCAAUCUAUAUGAAGCAGACUACUCGUAUAAACUAGGUCGUCAACAAAAUUAUGCCAAUAAGGAUUAUGUGAAUAAGAAACAAGGUGGAUAAGCCAAAUAUUUCCAAAUGGGGUCUCAGGGUUCAGACCUACUCAUCCAGAUUGUAAUUUUGGGCUUCACCUACCCAAUACCACUCUAAUCCGAGUAACAAGAGCACGUAGGCUAUCAUAUGCACAUGCACAAGGAUGCUCUGGAUGCUCGCCAUGUAUCCAUUUAGUUUAUUUAGCUCCUCGGCAGGCCUCUUCCUGCUGAAGGAGCGAUUAUCGUUGGUCUUAGCUUUCGUUGCCAUCACGAAGAUUUUGCCUAACCCUGUGUGAGGUCAUGUCCAUCACUGAACCACCGAAACCCUAUAAUUUUUUUUCUUCAGACAAACUCGGGGAAGAAGCAUCAGAAAAAGAUCUCAAAAGUAAUCAGGAAUUUGAAGGAUUGCGGUGACAUAUUAUAUGUCCUAGGAUCCAAGUGGGAGGAAGUCAGGUCCGCUCCCUCAAAGACGCAACGGGCUGAGGAGAUAUUGAAUCCACAUCAUCGACAUGCUCCAUGUUGCCAGAUCCGAGUGGGAGGAGGUUGGAUUCGUUUUGCCAGGCCAUCAUGGGUGGCAGACGUAUUGGAUUAGCGCCUUCGUCCUAGCAUGCGCUGUCACCUCCUGCAAGCACCAAGAAGACGUCGUCAUCUAGACCUAGUGAAGGGAGGUAGGGGAUGAGGAGUCGACUUCACCGCCAUGAAAAUAAAUGAGAGGGGCAAAGCUGCGGCUCGUGCCCUUGUGCGGUUAGCAAAGAAAUGAAAUCAGAGGGUGAUACGUCUCCAAUGUAUCUAUAAUUUUUUUUAUUGUUCUAUGCUAUUAUAUUAUCAUUCUUAGAUAUUUUAUAUGCAUUAAUAUGCUAUUUUAUAUCAGUUUUUGGGACUACCUAUUAACCUAGUGCCCAGUGUCAGUUGCUAUUUUUUCCUUUUUUUGUAUUUUACAGAAAAUCAAUACCAAACGAAACAAAACUUUUUGAUGAUUUUUCUUGGACAAUAAGAGACCUACGAUGCUUUGGGAGGAGGCGAGAAGAGCCACGAGGAGGCCACAAGCCUCCUAGUCGCGCCCCGGGGGGCGCCCUCUGGGCUUGUGGGCCCGUCGUAGCCCUCCUAACCCUAAUCUCAGCUCUAUAAAUACCCAAAUAUUCCCCUUACGUCAGAGGGCACACCAAAAGUACUUUUUCGCCGCCACAAGCUUCUAUUCUCAUGAUAUCCCAUCUUGGGGCCUUUUUUGGCACUCCGUCAGAGGGGGAUUGGAUCACGGAGGGCCUCUACGCCAACCUUGUCGCCCUUCCGAUGAUGUGUGAGUAGUUUACCACAGACCUACGGGUCCAUAGCUAGUAGCUAGAUGGCUUCUUCUCUCUCUUUGAUCUUCAAUACAAUGUUCUCCUCGAUGUUCUUGGAUAUCUAUUCGAUGUAAUGUUCUUUUGCGGUGCAUUUGUUGAGAUCUGAUGAAUUGUGGAUUUAUGAUCAGAUUAUCUAUGAAUAUUAUUGGAGUCUUCUCUGAACUCUUUUAUGCAUGAUUAAGAUAGCUUUGUAUUUCUCUCCUAUCUAUCGAUUUGGUUUGGCCAACUAGAUUGGUUUUUCUUGCAAUGGGAGAGGUGCUUUGUGAUGGGUUCAAUCUUGCGGUGUCCUCACCUAGUGACAAUAGGGUAGCGAGGCACGUAUUUGUAUUAUUGCCAUUAAGGAUAAAAAGAUGGUUUUUUUACCAUAUUGAUUGGAUCUAUCCCUCUACAUCAUGUCAUCUUGCUUAAGGCGUUACUCCGUUCUUACGAACUUAAUACUCUAGAUGCAUGCUGGAUAGUGGUCGAUGUGUGGAGUAAUAGUAGUAGAUGCAGGCAGGAGUCGGUCUACUUGUCAUGGAUGUGAUGCCUAUAUUCAUGAUCAUUGCCUUAGAUAUCGUCAUAACUUUGCACUUUUCUAUCAAUUGCUCAACAGUAAUUUGUUUACCCACGGUAUGCUUUCUUCAAGAGAGAAGCCUCUAGUGAAACGUAUGGCCCCGGGUCUAUUUUCCAUCAUAUUAUUUUCAGAUCUAUAAAAUGAAAACCUCAAAAAUACCUCACUGCAAUUUAUUUAUAUUUACUUUAUUUUGCCUUUCUCUUAUCUUUUAUAUCUAUCUCUAUUAGAUCUCACUCUUGCAAGUGGCCAUGAAGGGAUUGACGAGCCCUUUUUGCGUUGUGUGCAAGUGUUUAUUAGUUUGUGCAGGUGCAUCUAUUGGGGACUUGCUUGUGCCUCCUACUGGAUUGAUAGCUUGGUUCUUAACUGAGGGAAAUACUUAUCUCUAGGUUGCCGCAUCACUCUUUCCUCUUCAAGGGAAAAAUCAACACAAGAUCAAGAAGUAGCAAGAAGAAUCCAAAACAGAUAAUAUAAUAGCAUGGAACAAUCAAAAAUUGUAGAUACGUUGGAGACGUAUCAGGCCGCAACACCAAGAUGGGCCCUUAUUCAUACAAUAGUGAGUGUAAUACUAUCUAGUGUAAAUGUCAGUUUUGGACCACUUAUUUGUCACCCAUUGCAUGUUGAUCUUCAUGCUACAACUCAUAAUUGACUAAUUGUUUUGUAGAUACCAAUUGAUUUAGAAAAGGGCAACUUUAGUUUUAUAGAAAGUGUAAGCUGCACUUUUUCCACUUAGCUAGAAAUGUGCAAGUGGAGCAAACUUUUGUUUCAAAUCAUUUUUUGUCAAUUAUAGGCAACCCAAAUCAGUGACCAAUUUUGAGAGCCGCGCAUAUCCCUAGCUCCCCUCUAUACCUUUCCUCCACCUCUGCCACUGGCCCUGACCCUGCCUUCCAUCGCCGCCUCCCAUUCGCCACCCUGCCAGCCAUCUGCCCCUCCUUCCCCCAGGGCACCUUCUCUUCCCAUCUCCUUCUCACUUCUCCCCAUCCGUGCUCCGCUGCCGAUAGCUUCAAAGAUCCUCCCAUCUUCUCCGACACGUCCUCCUUGUCACCAUGCUCCACCUCCGUUUGACAUCCGCCCUCCAUACCGGCUGCACCCGCCACUCCCGCCAUCGUCACCACCCCAAGGUAAGCUGUCAUUUUUUAUUUCUAAUUUAAUGCCUUUUGUGAUUUGUGAUGGUGAUGAAUGGUUGUAUUAUUGUGGCAUACAUCAAAUAUAUAAAGUGGUUUCAAUUUUUUGCUAUUGGUUGCAAAUUUACAUGUUCGUUUGACAUUGCAAGUCAAGAAACAUGACAUUGCAAAUUUUUCCUAUUGCUAUUUUUUAUAUUUAAAGAGACAUGGUAUGACAUUGCAAUUAUAUUUAUAAAUAUGCAAGUCUUUGCAUAUAUAUAUAUAUAUAUAUAUAAAUAUAAAAUACUCUUUCAAAUUGAUUACGAUUUUUCGACAACCCUAGGAUGUGUAGAUUGUGUUUGUUUCAAUGCUCUCCUUCAUUCCGAGACAAAGUUUUAAUAGCAUCCCCCUGUUUCACUCAGAAUACACAUUCCCUUGUCUUAUUUUUCUAGAUGUGUACAGUACUACAAUGCUGCUGAACGGGCCAAAUGGUCAUUCGGUGCAUCUAGUUUAGUGAUCACAACUUGCAUCACUAACCAGCCAUAAACUAGUCUAUGAUGACUUAUAGCUGAUGGCUUGACCAUUAAUAUUUUAAUUUAGGGGACAUCAUCACUAACCUGCACUUCAGAAUUGAGGGUCAAUGAUAUCUUUAGGAAAACACCCCAAAAAUAGCAGAAUCCCAAGACACAUUCGAAUAGCUGAGCCACAUAUACACACACUUGUAAUCAAAAAAUACAAAUAGGAAAACUAUGAAGCACAAUAGAAACAUCACUAACAUACAAUUCGAACUCAAACUUUAUGAACCGUGAUAAACAAACAUAUCACUAAUUCAUAUGCUACAUCUCAUUUUGCCCUGCAUAGCCACCGAUGCAUGUGACCAUUAGUUAUCCAUGUCUUCACACGAUCUAGAAGGUUAAGAACUCCAUGCAAAGCUUUCAUCAUUGACUUCAAAAUUCAAAUACUCAACUACAAAGAAUAGGAAAUUAAUCAAUAGCAAUUUAAAUAAUGAAGUUAAAAUGAUUGAAUUUUGUGCACAUGUCGACAUUGUGUAAAACCAAAUUAACAUACAAGUGAUAUGGUUGUUAGAAUUUAUAAGUUUGACAAAACAUACAUGUGACAUGACUAUUUAGUUUAUAAAUUUGACAACGGAAGAGGAAGUAACCGUAUGACCAGGAUCAGGGCUGGUCCUUGCAUAUUGGAAACCUGGGCUGCAACAACAACACGGGCCCAUAUUCAUACAAUAGUGAUUGAACUAAUAUCUAGUGUAAAUGUAAUUUUUAGGCGGCCCAUUUGUCAGCCCAUUACAUGUUGAUUUUCAUGCUACAACUCAUAAUUGAUUAAUUAUUUUGUAGAUACCAAUUGGUUUAGAAAAGGAAACUUUAGUUUUAUAGAAAGUGUAAGUUCCACUUUUUCUACUUUACUAGAAAUAUGCAAGUGGAGCAAACUUUUGUUGCAAAUCAUUUUUUGUCAAUUCUAGGUAACCCAAAUCAGUGACCAAUUUACAAGAAAUUAUAGUGUCAUGGUUUAGGGAAGCACAAGAGAAGAGGCUAAAGAUUUUCUUUCUAGCAUGCACACAAAAAAUUGCAAUCUAUAGUGAUGGCACCAGCUCUCUGCACCGAGGGAGUGGAAAUGAAUGCAUCUACUUCCGCUCAAGUGACGACUAAAGAUGUAGAAGUGGGUGGAAAAAUCUUAUUUGUGGUUGAAUCUAUUACUAGUCUUAUCUAAGAAAAGAACAGGAAUUUCCAACAUCUGGGUGGAAAUACUCAACCGCCAAUAUGGAGCCUAUUAGUUUGAGUCAUGGAAAGAAAAAGAAGAGAGAAAAAAUGAAGGGAAGAAAAGAAAAGAAAGGAAAUGAAUGAAAGAAAAGAAAAGAAAUAAAUAAUUAAAAGGAAAGAAAAGCAAAACAAAGAAAGAAAGAGAAAAAGAGACUAAAGAUAGGAAAAUAAAGAAAGGAAAGAAAAGGCAAAGAAAUAAAGAAAAGAAAGAGAACAAAAGAAAUAAAAGAAAAGGAAGAAAAAAUAAAAGGAAUUUUUUCCUUGUGUUUACUUGGCCACUAAGAAAACAUUUGGACCCGGGACAUAGCCAAAACUCUAGCCACACCCAUUUCAUCCCAAAAUUUGAACACGCCGCACAUAACCUUAGCUCCCAUCUAUACUUCGGCUCGAUCGCUACCCCCAACCCCGACAAUGCCUUCCAAUCACUGCCUCCCAUUCACCACCCUGCCGGCCAUCGGCCCCUCCUUCCUCCAGCGUGCCUUCCCUCCCCAUCUCCUCCUCACUUUAACCCAUAUGAGCUCCACCAUCGACGCCUUCAAAGAUCCUCCCAUGUUCCUCGACACGUCCUCCUUGUCACCGAGCUCCACCGCCAUUUGAGAUCCGCCAUCCACCGCCGCUGCACCCGCCACUCCCACCAUCGUCACCGCCCCAAUGUAACCUGCUCUUAUUUAUUUCUAAUUUUAAUGCCUUUUGUGAUUGUUAUUAAUGGUUGUAUGAUUGUGAUGUACAUCAAAUAUGUGAAGUGGUUGCAAUUUUUUGCUAUUGGUUGGAAAUUUGCAUGCUUGUAUGAAUUGCGAUGUUAUAAAUGAGAAGAGAGAUGAGGGAAAAGAGAAGAUAUAAAGGGAAGAGAGAGGAGAGAAAAGUGAAGAGAGAAGAUGGAAGAAAGAAUAAAUAUGAGAAGAGAAACUGAGAAUAUUGCAAAUUUUCUUUGUAAAUUCCGUAUAUAUGUGAAAACUUCAUAUGCCAUGCUAAUUUUGCUAUGUCUAGAAUCAUUGUAUGACAGUAAAGGAACAUGGUAUGACAUUGCGACUAUACAUUUUUUCUAUAUAAAUGUUUCUGUGUGAGAGUUAUGAAAAAUUAGUUGUUCGUCUAAAAACCACUAUGUGUGUGUGUGUGUGUGUGUGUGUGGGUGGGUGGGUGGGUGUGUUUGUUUGUUCAAAUUAGUUUUUGUUAAAGUGUGAUCUUCAUUUUUUGUAUGACUUGUCAACCUUUGUUACAUCAGCUAGUAAAGUGGCAUAGUCGUAUACCGUUUCUCGACGGUUAUAUCUAUAAAUAUGCAAGUCUUUGCAUAUUUAUAAAAAUACACUUUCGAAUUGUUUACGAUUUUUGGACAUCUCGAGGAUGUUUAGAUUGGGUUUGUUUCCAUGCUUUCCUCGAUUCUAAGACAAAGUUCUUGUAGCAUCCCCCUAUUGUUAUUAGAAUACACAUUCUCUUGGCUUAUUGUCAAGAUGUGUACACUACUAAAAUGCUCCUAAACGGACAAAAUGGUCGUUCAAUGCAUUUGGGUCAUUGAUCAGAACUCGCAUCACUGACCAGGCAAAAACUGGUUUCUGAUGACUCAUAGCUGAUGGCCGGACGAUUAGUAAUAAAAUUUAGAGGACAUCAUCACUAACCAGUACUUCACAAUUGAUCUGUCAAUGAUAUCUUUAGGAAAACACCCCAAAAAAUAGCAGAAUCUCAAUUCACAUACGAAUAGCUGAGCCACAUAUAUACACGCACACUUGUAAUCAAACAUACAACUAGGAAGGCUAUCAAGCACAAUAGGAACAUCACUAACAUACAAUUCGAACACGAACAUUGGAAGCGUGACAAAAAAUAUCACUAAGUCAUAAGCUACCUCUCAGUGUGCCCUGCACAGCCGCCGAUGCAUGUGACCAUCCGUUAUUCAUGUCUUCACACGCUCUAGAAGGUUUAGAAUGCCAUGUAAAUUUGUGAUCAUCGACUUAAAAAUUCAAAUGCUCAACUAAAAAUAAUAGAAAGUUAAUUAAUGGCAAGUUAAAUAACCAAGUUAAAAUGAAUGGAUUAUGUGCACAUGUCGACAUUGUGUAAAACCAAAUGAGCAUACAAGUGAUAUGGCGGUUCCAAUUUAUAAGUUUGACGGAUCAUAAAAGUGGCAUCACUCUUUACUCUAUAAAUUUGACAAGAGUUAAGAGAUUGUCAUAUUGCAUUGGCUCUAGAGGUGUCAUAUGUACAUUGAAUUAAGAUGAACCAAAAACCAAAGUUGCUCAAUCUGGUGAGGAGAGGAACUUUCAAGUUGGGCAGUUUCCCUUGUAAGUCCAUCUUGAGGACCGAAUUAGCGAUGCCAUACACUUGACAUGUAUCAGAUAUUGUAUGGAAUCGGGAGAUUGUAUUCUAACUUUGGAGGUUGCAUAUCACCUCGGAUGAAGAUGCCCCAUAAAUUAUAGUUUUGUGCCACAACAACAUUGACAACUUCCAUGUAAUGAUCAACCCUUCAGAAAUGCACCUUGGUUUCAUGAGAGAGAGAGGGAGGGGGGAGCGAGCGAGAGAGAGAGAGGAUACUACCUGAGAUAUGUUGAUGGUGAUGUCCGACAGAGAAAAGUGAGCAAGGAGGUUGAUGGCUGCAAAGAAACCUAUCAUCAAGGAACAUCACCUUGGCAAUUACAAUAUCGAGGUGCAUCUCUUUUCUCCAACAUUGUUUUGUUCAGGUAUACUUUGUUUCCAGGUUAGUAUGAGCAACAUAUACUAAAUAACUUUAGCUAAUGAAGCACGAUUAGUAGUCCCCAAAAUAUUGUAGAUAUGAUUCUUAGCCAUGCAAAUUAUUUCCAUGGAAUGCAAUUUCUUCCACAAAGACAAUAUGUUUACCAUUUUAAUAUAUUUUACUUGGGCGAUGCUAGGCCCGGGCCGAUCGGUGCCAGCCUCAACCAACAACCGUAUAACGGCAUGAUCGAACAUAUGAAGGAUGACCUCGAUUGUUUAACAAGCACUUAAGAAGGCAUGGUUGUGCAAAAUGUCCCUAUUAUCUCAAGGUCACCUCCAAAAGAAAACAAGAUUGAGCGUGAGAACGUUAAGAGGAUGAAAGGGAAGGAAUGCAAAUAUACAUUUGUGCUUUGUUAAAUAAUUUAAUUUAACCUAUGAAUACACUUUAUUUUUACUAUCCUCAAGUGAAGCCAGGUUUAGCACAACAUGUACAAGGAAAAAUUGCUUUCUCUGGUAGAUCAUGUAGGUGAAAGGGAACAAACCCUAGGACCAGGGUUGGUUCUCACAUAUCGCUGAUCCGAGGCCUAGCAAAACAAAGCAAAAUGUUCACCUACAUAGCCCAUCUUCAAUAAAGUUCGCGUGCAGCGGCAAUCAUCAAUGAAUUCUUAUAUAGCAUUAACUUCAUUAUUUGCUCCUAUUUUCUCCUGUGUUACUCAACAAGCCAACCGAUGGUAAAAGUAAUGUUGGCAGUGGCCUCGAUUGUUUGACCAAGUACUCAAGAAGGAAAGUCUAUGUGCAAGAAGCUAAUGUUAUUUCAAGGUAGCCUCCAAAAGAGUAGAUUGAGCUUGAAAAGUCUGACAUGAUGAAGGGUAAGGCAUGCAAAUAUUCAUUUGUGCUCAGCAUUACAUAAUUUAAUGUAAAAUUGCUAUAUACUUUAUUUUUACUAUCCUCCAAUGAACUUUAGGUUUAGCACAACGUGUAUCCUAGAAAAUUGCCUUUUAUGGCAGCUCCUAGGCCAUGCACACAAAUAAAAUGGAUUAACCUUAAAUGCAUACCUUUGAUCGUGGGAGAUAUCACGCUGCAGAGUUGGGCAGGAGGGGGAGAAGGUAGGGACGAAGUGAGAGUUAGAGAGGGAGAACAUAGUUGGACAGAGGGAGGGGAAACAAACACCAGAGUUAGGUGAAGGGAUAAUGACAGUUAAAGGGGGAGGAACCGUACGACCAAGAUUACGCUGGUCCUAGAAUAUUGGCGGCCCGAGCCACAACAACAAGAUGGGUCCUUAUUCAUACGAUAGCGAUUGAAGUAAUAUCUAGUGCAAAUUUCAUUUUUAGACCACCUAUUUGUCACCCUGCUGCACAUUCAUCUUCAUGCUAGGACUCAUAAUGGACUGCUUUUUUUGCAGAUACCAAUUGAUUUAGAAAAGGUCAACUUAAUUUUUGCUGAAAAGUGUAAGUUGCACUUUUUCCACUUAGAUAGAAAUGUGAAAGUGGAGAAAACUCUUGUGGCAAAUUAGUGUUAAGUAAUUCUUUAGGCAAAACAAAUGAGUGAUCAAUUUACAAGAAAUUAUAGUGUCAUUGUUCCGGGAAUAAAAGAUAAGAGGCUAAAGAUUUUCUAUCUCGCAUGUACCCAAAGUAUUCGUAAUUUAUCAUGUGAAAGUGUUCUUUACUAAAAAAGACAUUUUACCACAAAACUUGUCCUGACAUUAUAAUCGUUCUCCAUAAUUUCCUCGGUUUGUGCUUACAACAAAUGAAUUAAAGCUAGAAUUUUUUUGCAUUUACGUGUAAAAGAAUUGCAAUCUAUAGGAAGCAGACUACUUGUGUGAACCAGGUUAUCAAAAAAUUAAUGCCAAUAAGCAUCUUGUGAGUAAGAAACAAGGUGGAUAAGCCAAAUAUUUCCAAAUGGGGUCCUAUGGGUCAGUCCUACUCAUCCACAUUGUAAUUUUGGGCUUCACAUGCCCAAUACCACUUCAAUCCAAGUAACAAGAGCACCCUGGACUAUCAUAUGCACAUGCACAUGGAAUUAACCAAUGGAGACAAGGAUGCUCUGGAUGGUCGCCAUGUAGCCGUUUAGUUUAUUUAGCUUCUCGGCAAUCCCCUUCUUCUUAAAGGAGCCGCUAUAGUUGGUCUUGGCUUUCGCUGCCAUCAUGAAGAUUCUGCCUAACCCCGUGUUAGCUCAUGUAUGUCGCUGAACCACUAAAACCCUGUAGAAAUUUUUAGAAGUAAUCAGGAAUUUGAAGGAUUGAAGUGACAGAUUAUAUGUCCCAGGAUCCGAGUGGGAGGAAGUUGGGGCCGCUCCCUUAGGACGCAACGGGUUGAGGAGACAUCGGAUCCACGUCAUCGACAUGCUCCAUGUAGCUAGAUAAGACUGGAGGAGGUUGGAUUUGUUUCGCCAGGCCAUCAUGGGUGGUAGACACGUUCAAUUAUCUCCGUCGUCCUAGCCUACGUUGUCACCUCACGCAAGCACCACCGUCGUCAUCUAGACCUAGAGAAGGGAGGUAGGGGAUGAGGAUUCGAGUGCGCCGCCAUGAAAGAAAAUGAGAGGGACAACGCUAUGGCUCGUGCCCUUGUGCGGCUGGCAAAGGAAUGGAGUCAGAGGCGGCUAGAUUAAAGGUUGCUUCAUUGGACUAGAUGAUUUAUUUAUGCACAUACUAUAUGUGUUUGGCUCACUCGAUUAGUACGAAAUUUUCAUGUUAUAAUUUGACUAAAAAUCAACUGCACAACAUAAUCAUGUUGUAUUCCAUGCCAAUUAAGGUUUCGUGUGAUUUGGUACAUACAUAGAGCAUUGAUGGCCCAAGAGAAAUAUAAUUUGCUUUAGUCAUGGUUUUUAUUUCCUAAUAACAAAUUUAGCUAAUGAAGCAAGGUCAAUAAUCAUCCCCAAAAUAUUGUCGAUCCGAUUCUUAGUCGUGCAAUUUAGUUCCAUGACAUCCAGCUUGUUUCCACAAACACAAUAUGUUUACAGCUAUAAUGUAUUUUACUUUGGCGAUGGUAGGUGUCCGUCGACCGGUUCCAGUCUCAACCGACCACCGUACAUCCACACGACCGAGUCGAUUAAGGACGACCUUGAUUGAUUGACCAAACACUCAAGAAUGCAUGGAUGUGCAAAAUGCCCCUAUUAUCUCAAGGCUUCUUUCAAAAGAAAAGACGUUUGAGCUUGACAAGGUCAGAAGGAUGAAAGGGAGGGCAUGCAAAUAUACAUUUGUGCUUUGUUAAAUAAUUUAGUUUAACCUAUUAAUACACAUUAUUUUUACUAUCCUCAAGUGAACUCUAGGUUUAGCACAACAUGUACUAGAAAAAAUGCUUUGUGUGGUAGAUCAUGGCAGUGAAAGAUAAGGAACCCUAGGACAAGGGCUGGCUCUCAGACCAAUGACCUAGGAACAAGAUGGAACCUUAAUCAUACAAUAGUACUUGAAAAAAUAUCUAGUGUAAAUUCCAUUCUAGACCACCAUUUGACACCCCAUUGCAAUUUUCAUCUUCAUGUUAGAGCUCAUAGUGCCAGUAUCAUAGUAUUCAUGCAGGUCAUCCAUGUCUUAAUAGACAGAUUGCUAUAGAUACCAAUUGAGGCACAAAAGGACAACUUAAGUUUUUUUAAAGUGUAAGUUGCACUUUUUUGCACUAUAUUACACCCUACUAGGCAAGUGGAGCAAACUCUUGCUGCAAGUCAUUGUUAGUGAAUUCAUUAUGUACAAAUUUGUAAAUAUUCUAAAGCCAAUCUGUUGACCAACCAAAAUAUGUUUGCCAUUUGCCAACAUACCAAUUAAGCCAAUGAUAGCGUCCUUGAAUAUUAUCUCAUUUAAAAAAUGAGUAAAAUCAUAUCGUUUUGAUUAGCCAUUUGAAUGAGAUGCCAAGUUACAAGAAGGAAUUGUUCCAUAUAUAUGGUUGGGAAACACAAGGUAAGAGGCAAAACAUUUUCUUUCUAGCCUGUGCCCAUUAAAUUCAUAAUAUGUAGUCUAAAAGAGUUAUUUACGAAAAGAUACAUCUUUAACCCAUCCUCCCGCUAUAAUCCUUCUACAUGACUACUUUGGGUCCUACUUACAAGAAAGGAAUAAAAACAGGAAAAUGAUUGCAAGUCAUAUGCAAUACACAAAACUCCAAUUUAUAGGAAAACCAAAAUGUUGAUAUUUGGAUUCAUGGUACAAAAAUACUAUAGCAAAACAGUUGAUAUCCACUAUACCUUUUUCUAUGAAGUGUCGUUAUUUAUCAUUUACACUAUCUGCUACAUAGCAAAAACAAAGCAAAGUCAACUGUCCACCUACAUAGCUCAUCUUUAGUUAAGGUCGCAUGCACCAACAUUCAUGAAUGAACUCUUAUAUAGCAUUACCCUCAAUGUUUGCUCCUAUUUUCUCCUUUGUUACUCGACAAGCCGACCGGUCGUCAAAGUAAUGUUGCCAGUGGCCUCGAUUGUUUGACCAAGGACUCAGGAAGGCAAGUCUGUGUGUAAGAAGCUUCUAUUAUCUCAAGGUAUCCUCCAAAAGAAAAGUAGUUUGAGCUUGAAAAUUCUGAAAGGAUGAAAUGUAAGGCAUGCAAAUAUUAAUUUGUGCUCGGCAUUACAUAAUUUAAUGUAACAUAGUAAUAUACUUUAUUUUUACUAUCCUCAAAUGUACCUUAGGUUUCACACAAUGUGUAUACUAAAAAAAUGCCUUUUAUGGCAGCGCCCAGGCCAUGCACACAAAUAAAGUGGAUCAACCUUAAAUACAUAACUUCAAUCAUGGGAGAUACUGUGCUACAGAGUCGGGCAGGAGGGGGAGAACACGGGAACAGAUGAGAGGUAGAGAGGGAGAGCAGAGUUGGACAAAGGGGGGCAAACAGACACAUGCGGUAGGUGAAGGGAUAAUAACAGUAGAAGGGGGAGGAACCCUAUGACUAGGAUCAUGGUUAUUUCUUAUAUACCAGGGCCCGAGCCGCAACACUAAGAUGCGCCCUUAUUCAUGCAAUCGUGAUUGAACUAAUAUCUAGUGUAAAUGUCAUUUUUAGACCACUUAUUGCUCAGCCCGUUGCACGUUGAUCUUCAUGCUAUAACUCAUAAUUGACUGAUUGUUUUGUAGAUACCAAAAAGGGCAACUUUAGUUUAUAGAAAAUGUAAGUUGCACUUUUUCCACUUAACUAGAAAUGUUCAAGUAGUGCAAACUUUUGUUGCAAAUUAAUUUUUUCAAUUCUAGGCAACCCAAAUCAGUGAACAAUUUUGAACACGCCACACAUAACCCUAGCUACCCUCUAUACCUUUUCUCCGUCUCUACCACUGGCCCCGACCCUGCCUUCCAUCGCCACCUCCCAUUUGCCGCCCUGCCAGCCAUCUGCCCCUCCUUCCCCCAGCGUGCCUCCUCUCCCAUCUCCUCCUCACUUCACCCCAUCUGAGUUCCGCCGCCGACACUUUCCAAGAUCCUCUUAUCUUCUCUGACAUGACCUCCAUGUCGCUGAGCUCCACCUCCAUUUAUGAUCCACCUUGAUGCCAUCUUAGAAGCGGCGGGCGCCCCUGAGAGCCUUGCCCGCCACUGCUAGGCUUUUUUACGCCCGCCGCUGCAGUAGUGACUUGGUGUUGGCACCGUCUGUCUGCACCGAGGGAGUGGAAAUGAAUGCAUCUGCUUCUACUCAAGCAAUGACUAAAGACAUAGAAACCAGGGAAAAUUCAUAUUUUAUUAGGCUUAUCUAAGAAAAGAAAUGGAAUUCCAACAUCUAGGUGGCUAUACUUGACCGCCAAUAUGGAGUUUAUUGGUUUGAGUCAUGGAAAGAAAAAGAAGAGAAGAAAAGAAAGGAAAUGAAUGAAAGAAAAGAAAUAAAUAAAAGGAAGAAAAGCAAAGUAAAGAAAGAAACUCAAAAAGAAAGAAAAGAGGAGACUAAAUAUAGGAAAAGGUAGAAAGGAAAGAAAAGCAAAGCAAAGAAAGAAGGAAAAGAAAGAGAACAAAAGAAAUAAAAGGAAAGUCAGAAAAGAAAUAAAAGGAAUUUGCCCCUAGCGUUUCUACUUGGCCACUGAGCAAACAUUUGGGCCCGGGACUUGGCCCAAACUUCAGCCACACCCAUUCCAUCCCCAAAUUUUGAACCUGCCGCACAUAACCCUAGCUCCCCUUUAUACCUUUCCUCCUCCGCCGCCGCCGACCCCGACCUUACCUUCCAUCGCCGCCUCCAAUUCUCAAUCCUACCAACCAACGACCCCUCCUUCCCCUGACGCACCUCCUCUCCCCUUAUCCUCCCAACUUCGCUGCAUCCGAGCUUCCUCGCCGAAGCCUUCCAAGCUCCUCCCACCUCCCUCGACACGUCCUCCUCGUCACCGAGCUCCACCGCCGUUUGAGAUCCGCCUUCCGCCCCGGUUGCACCCGCCGCUCUCACUGUCGUCACCGCCCCAAGGUAAGUUGUCAUUUUUAUUUUGAAUUUUAAUGCCUUUUGUGAUUUGUGAUGGUGAUGAAUGGUUGUAUGAUUGUGAUGUACAUUGUACAUGCGAAGUGGUUGCAAUUUUUUGCUAUUGGUUGCAAAUUUGCAUGUUCUUAUGAAAUGUGAUGUCAUAAAUGAGAAGAGAGAUGAGGGAAAAGAGAAGAGUUAAAAGGGAAGAGAGAAGAGAGAAAAGGGAAGAGAAAAGAGGGAGGAGAGAAUAAAUAUGAGAAGAGAGAUUGAGAUUUGCUAUGCAAAUUUUGUAUAUGUGAAAACAUCGUAUGCCAUUGCUAAUUUUUCUAUGUCAAGAAACAUUGUAUGACAUUGCAAUUGUUUCCUAUUGAUAUUUUUUAUAUGUAAAGAGACAUGGUAUGACGUUACAAAAUUGUCUUGUAAAGAAAAUUUCAUUGUACAAUUUCGAUAUGUAAGUGUUUAUGUGUGUAUGUGUGAGUUAUGAAAAAAUGAGUGGUUUGACUAAAAACCACUGUGUGUGUAUCAUUCAAAACAAUUUCUUUUUAAGUGUGAUCUUUUUUUUUGUAUGACAUGUCAAACUCUGUUGCAAUGUAAAACCUUUGUGGUGGUGCAUCUUUGAUUGUUCUCAUAGGCCUUUCUACAGGAGAGACACCGGUCUUUGUCCCCGACCAUGCUUCAAGGGUAAUAUCUCUGUUCAUGUGUAUGUUUGUUUAUUUUUACAUCACCUAGUCAAGUAACAUAGACAUAUCCCAUAUCUCGAGAGUUAUAUUUAUAAAUAUGCAAGUCUAUGCAUAUUUAUAAAAAUACUCUUUUGAUUUCUUUACAAUUUUUGGACAACGAGGAUGUACAGAUUGGGCUUGUUUCCAUGCUCUCCUCCAUUCUGAGACAAAGUUUCAAUCGCACCCCUGUUGUUAUUAGAAUACUCAUUAUUUUGUCUUGUUGUCAAGAUGUGUACACUACUACAAUGCUGCUAAAUCGGCCAAAUGGUUAUUCAGUGCAUCCGGGUCAGUGAUCACAACCCGCAUCACUGGCCAGCCAAAAACUGGUCUGUGAUGGCUCACAACCAAUGGAUGGACCAUCAGUAAUGUAAUUUAGAUGAUAUCACCACUAACCAGUACUUCACAAUUGACCGGUCAGGGAUAUCUUUAGGAAAACACCCCAAAAAUAGCAGAAUCUCAAUUCAAAUACGAAUAGUUGAGCCACAUAUACACACGCUUGUGUAAUCAAACAUACAACUAGGAAGAGUAUAUGAAGCACAACAAGAACACCACUAACAUACAACUCGAACUCGAACAUUAUGAAGCGUGACAAACAAAAAUAUCACUAAGUCAUAAACUAACUCCCAAUGUGCUCUGCAUCACCGUCGAUGCAUGUGACCAUCAGUUACCCAUGCCUUCACACGAUCUAAAAGGUUCAUACAACCAUGUGAGACCUCUAAUCAUCAACUUCAAAAUUGAAAUGAUGAGCUAUAGAGAAUAGAAUGUUAAUCACUAGAAAGUUAAAUAACCAAGUUAAAACGAAUGAAUUGUGUGCACAUGUUGACAUUGUGUAAAACAAAAUGAACAUACAAGUGAUAUGGCUAUUACAAUUUAUAAGUUUGAUAGAACAUACAAGUGACAUGGUUGUUUAGUUUACAAAAUGUGACUAGGGUCAAAAGAUUGUCAUAUUGCAUCGCCUCUAGAGGUCGCAUACGUACAUUGAAUUAAGAUGAAACAAAAACCGAAGUUGUUCAACUUGGUGAGGAGAACAAGUUUCUUGUUGGGAAAAUUUUCUUUUAAAUCCAUCUUGAGGGCCGAAUAAGCGAUGCCAUACACCAGAGACGUAUCACACAGUGUACGGAAUCAGUGGAUUGUAUUCUAACUUGGAGGGUGCAUAUCACCUCGGAUGGAGAUGGCCCAUAAACUAAUGUUUUGUGCCUCAACAAUGCCGACAAUUUCAUGUAUUGAUCAACCCUUCAGAAAUGGACCUUAGGUUUCACCAAUGAUAUUGUGUGUGUGUGUGUGUGUGUGUGUGUGUGUGUGUGUGUGAGAGAGAGAGAGAGAGAGAGAGAGAGAGAGAGAGAGAUACUAACUGAGAUAUGUUGAUGGUGAUGUCCGACAGAGAAAAGCAAGGGAAGAGGUUGAUGGCUGCAGAGAAACCCAUCAUCAAGGCACAUCACCUUGGCAAAGACAACAUCGAGGUGCGUCUCUUUUCUCCCAUGUUGUUUUGUUCAGGUCUGCUUUGUUUCCAAGUUAAUAUGAGCAACAUAUACUGAAUGACCUCAUCGUUCUUGCAUGCUUUUGUAGUACUACACAUGUCCUAUUACGAGCAUGAUGUCCAUGAUAAAGAACAAGGUCACGCAAUACCGCAGGUUCGAGAAGCGUGUGAUCAAGGGGAGGUCAACGUGUGGUGAUGUGAAGACACUACAGGUGAGCGACGAAUUAUGUGUGAUACAGACUUACAUAAAUGUUGUUGAUGGUGUGUGAUACAGACUUACACAAAUGUUGUUGAUGGUGUUGAGGUCUGAGGUGUGAACCACGGGUGUUCUAUGUUCAGGGCAACUAUAGCUGGAUCCCGGAGGGUUGGGCGAUGGAGAUAAGGGCUGAAGGGGAGGGGGUGAACAAAAAAGUAUUCAAGGUAUGUAAAACAAAAAAAAGCACUCUUGUUUAAUAAGUUUCCAUCAUGCAGUGAAUAGCUACAUUAUGUGGCUAGCCUUGGCAAACUAUAUUGUUUGGACACUUUUUGCAAUAGAAAAUGUCUGACAUUUCAUAUUUCAUUGUUUAGAGCCUUAUUUAUACAUUCAUCCAAGAGGUAGUAAUGGAUACAACCACGACAACGACAUUGCACACAUACACCUCUUUUCUUUUUCUAAAAAAUGAUUUGGUAUAGAUGGAUAAUUGUAUUUAGUUGUAUAUGUGUGAGAAAUUAAAUGGAUAGAUAAUAUAACAGAUAUUUUUAUCUUGGAAUGCGCCAUUGGUCAGAUGAGAACCAAGCAAAGAAACUGGUUCAUCUAAGCAACUCACUAAACUUGAACAUACCCUCAUGCAGUUCUUCGUCCAUAAGUCCUCCGGGGUGCGACUUACAAACAAAGAUGAUGUAGAGGCCUUUGAAAAAAUAGUACGAGUGCCAAAGAUGCCACUGCCAUCCAAAGAAGAUGGGUCUAAACAAGAUGUGUCUAAACAAGACGUGCUGCUCUUUGAAGAACCAAUAAAAAAGAGGAAGACCCCCAGAGCCUGCAAAGACCCAGACGCAGUAGAGUGCGACACGAGCUCUCAGGAUAACGUAUGUACAUCUCUACAUAAAACCACAUACAUACAUACUUCUAGUGUGAUCUUAAUGCUAUAAAUUCUCAAGAACUGGCUAACACUCAGUCUUAUGUAUUAUAGAUGAUUGCACAGCUUGACUUCUAUACUGAGCGUUUAUCCGCUGGAUGGGUGAAGGAAACCUACUUCAGACCAGACAAGAAAAAUAAGAAAGACACGGUAUAUAUAAACAUGUCAUAUUGGCCUAUUUUUUUUGUUAAAUAUGCAUGCAAAUUGCAAACACACGCUGUGCUUAUCCAUUUUUCUUCAUUGGUUUCAGUUUUCUAUUCUUUAAUUAUCCUUUUGGUCUUCUGCAGUAUUUUACCGCCCCUUCUAGUUCUGAGUAUCUCGUGUUCCGUACAAAGAAGGAUGCAAUGAAAUACUUCUGGACUGGAGAACGUCCUAAAGAUUCUUGGAAACCGACAAAUAGUGUCACCAAGAAGUACAAAGACUUGCUUGGUAAUUGUUGCUCCUGUUUUUUCACAACUCGUUGAGUAGUACUGUUCUCGCCGAAGUUUCAUAUAAUGGGACUCAUUAAGCACAUCUGAGAAGAUAUCUAGUGGUUUCUCUUAUCUUUUUUACGGUGCUUCCAUGCAAACCUACAUUUCUGAAUUUUCUGACAAAGUUGAGACAAGAUGUAUCUAAAGUUCCCACAUAAUUUAAUUUCAAAACUUGAUCCAUAUAUAAAUAAACAAAAAUAAAAAUGAUGUGAAUAGUGCCAAACAUAUAAUAUUCACAACAAAUCUGAACUGUGUACUUUUUAUCUUUCUUUCUGUUCUUGAGUUGUGAAUCAAAUUUGGUCUUCAAAUUAUGUAUCAUGGCUGUUGCACCAUGUCUCAAGGUUGUCUUUUUUACCUACAAAAAAUUUCUUUUAGAUUGUGCAUUUGUUCUUACUAGAUAGUGCAGAAAUACCGUCAAGGAGGAAACAUCAGGAAAAAUGAUGAUUUUUUGGGAGCACGUAUAGGACGUGCACUCAUGCACUAAUAAGCUCAUAGCUCAUCCUUCUUUUUACAAAAUUGCUUCCAUCUCAUUAUUCUUUCCCCUCUCUUUUUUGCGGGAGAUUUCAUUAUUCUUUCCAUCCUACCUAUUAAUUUGACUUUUUUUACAGUUACAGAUACAGAUGAAAAAGACCUAGAUGGUCAACAUGAGCCCAAGGAAAAGAAGCCUAAGACUACAAGCACCGAAGCCGACGAGGCCAUGACCUGCUCAUAGGCUAGACUGCUAGGAAUCAAUCAAGGCCAAGAGAAAAAUUGAAGAAAACCAGAGUGAUCAAUGGCAGCAUUUUUUCGGCUUAAAAAGACAGAAGGAACACUGCCGCUGCGAAGCUAUUUCCACCUUGUGUUCUGAACUUAAUUAUAUGGUGGGUUUGUCGUGAAACUUGCAACCAAAGGGGACAGUGGUAGGAGGUUUUUGUUCCAUUGUCUGAGUCCGAGUAUGCGAUUGGACCUCCUCGGUGUGUUGAACCUGUUUCCUUUUUUCUAUUUUUGCUUUUGUGUUUUACUUCCUGAGAACCUAGCCUUCCUAGAAUUGUGAAUUGUUUAAUUCGUGCCGAAAUAUAUUUGGAUUUUCUCUGAUUUUACUCGUUUCCUGAACUAUAAUCGUCUAUACGGCAUUACAUGGCUCUGGUUCUGGCAGACAGGAAGGUUGCAACAAUGAAACAUCAUAAGCAUUUAAGCAUUAU